AUUAAAGCUACUGAAUUAUAAUAAAGAUAUGAAUUUGACAAGAACAUGAAAUGCAUUUUGAGAGGCUAAAGAUAAGAAGAUAGAUGCUUCAUUGGACAAUGCUGAACCUCCUCCAGCAAAAUCAGACAAUGCUCUAAUGGCAAUGAAAGGUAUUUUGUGUUGGAAACAAACUAAAGCAACUGCAGCACUUUCCAUGUCUGUUGGAGUAGCAUCGAAUUUACAAUUCAAAUGAUCUCUAUAUGCUUUGUUGUCAACAAAUAUAUUGGCAGUGACCCCUUUCUUUACUCUCACCACAAUAGGCUUUCUUGGUAAGCAAGUUGUGUUUACACAACUACUCAAUUCAACAUUCUGUGGAGAAUAAGUAAAACAUUAGCCUCAAAUAAUUGUAUAUUUUGAUUUGUGUAGUGGCUGAAAUGAGUUUAGGGUUGUGUGUGGUCAUAUGCAUCCAAUCACACAUGAACUGUCCAACCAUGAUCAUCGGUUUAGAUUUCAAGAUCCGUAUAUUAUAAUAUAAAAAAAAAAAAUCAAAAUAUGUAUUGAAAUUUAGACCGUCCUAUGGACGGUCAGAAUUCAGCUAACUGCAGGCAGUCACACUACACACAAUUUAAAUCCCUCAAAAUGAUUACUAAAUCGAUAUUUUUAUUUAAUCAAUUAUCUAAUGACCUAGUUUAUUAAAUUUGAACCUUUAUUCUAUUGAAAUAUCUAGUGCAUGUUUGGAUUGACUCUUUAGAGAGUCAAAAGUGAUCCUUAUGACUUAAAAUUUAUUUUGGUGUGUUUGGAGAUUAUUAAAAUUUGUUUUUCAUCUAGAAUCUAUUCUAAUUUUAAACAAUGAUUAUAAUUUUAACUCUGCACGUAAUUUUUGCACUCAAAUUCAUUAUUCAACUAAUUUUCCUGUGAAUGUAACAAAACACAAAUAUUUUUAUCUUAGAACUUACUUUUAACUAAAAGAAAAUUUACAAUAUCAAUUAAUCAAAAUCAAAUUUUGUACGCAGAACCAAACAAACACUUGUAAUUAGAUGGUGAUUAGGGGGUUGAACUCACCUUGAGCUUUCUUGCAAUUUCAAAGUAAGUUUUGUCAACUGGAACCCAAAAAACAGGCUGCCAAACUUCAGGAGUUCCAUCAACAGGAAAAAUUCUCUCUGGUUGAUACCAAACCUUGUUCAACAAAUUUUCCUCUGAUUUGGAAUGUUUUGUGUAGUUAUUGUAAUUCGAAAACUUAAGAUAGCCCAAUUCUGUGCCGAAAUCUCCAAUGUCUUCACCAAAUCUCUGCUCAAUUAAAUCAUAAGAGUAAGAUGAAAUUAUUAUAUGGGUUUGGCAAAUCAAAGUUAUCACUUUAAAAGUAGUAAUUAAGACAUCUUUAAUAUGAAAUGCACAUGUUCCAAGUCAAAGUUAUCACUUUAAACUUCUUAACCAUUUAUUAGAUUAUAUUUGGCAACUCUUAAUGAGGCAAAUCAGAAUUGAAUGAGAAUUGAUAUGUAAUAUUCCUUGACAGUAGCUGUUUAAUUAGCUCAUGAGCUGUAUUGUAAUUAGUCAACUUGUAUAUCGUAGGCAUAUCAGUCAUGAGACACAAAUCUAGGAAAAACUGUAGGUGCCUAUUUGUGUAUAUAAUCUUCAUAUCUUUGAGAAAUAAAAGACACUGAACCAUUAUUUUACAUGGUAUCAGAGCCUUCCCUUUAUCAGUAAAAUUCACACACGACAGAAAUAAUGGCAGAAAAGAAUGAAUCUGAAAAGAAAAGGCCAUCACCUUACGAUCUCAAUUCCAAUGAUAACCCUGGAAAUGUAAUCACACAGGUGCAGCUGAAGGGUGAAAACUACGGUGAAUGGGCUAGUGCUAUGAAAACAUCUUUGAGAGCAAGAAGAAAAUGGGGCUUCAUUGAUGGAACCAUAGAGAAACCGAAAAAAGAAUCUGAAAUGGAGGAUUGGUGGACUGUUCAAUCCAUGUUGGUGUCAUGGAUCUUGAAUACAGUAGAACCUACAUUACGAUCAACCAUGUCGUAUAUGGAAACCGCCAAAGAGCUUUGGGAUGACAUCAAGGAAAGGUUUUCAGUUGCAAAUGGUCCACGGAUUCAGCAACUAAAAUCUGACUUGACUCAAUGCAAACAAGGUGGAUUGACCAUGGUGGCUUAUUACGGAAAGAUGAAGGCCUUGUGGGAUGACUUGGAAAACUAUGAACAGGUACCAAUUUGUACUUGUCAAGGCUGCAAAUGUGGUAUUGCAGCGAAACUUGAGAAACGCAGACAGGAAGAACGAUGUCAUCAAUUCUUGAUGGGACUAGAUGAUGUGCUUUAUGGAACUGUUCGUUCAAACUUGUUAUCCACAGAUCCUCUUCCAUCUUUAAAUAAGAUGUACUCUAUUCUGGUACAAGAAGAAAGGAUGCGGAAUGUCAUCCGAGGUAAAGAAGAAAGGACUGAGGUCAUGGCCUUGGCUGUUCAAACAGGUGCAAGGAUGAAAGGGCGCGAGAUCAAGAACAAAUCAGUUUGUACAAACUGUAACAGAUCUGGUCAUGAUGAAGCCGGCUGUUUCCUAUUGAUCGGAUAUCCCGAUUGGUGGGGUGAACGUCCAAGAAGUGAUGAUAACGCCAGUGGACGAGGAAGAGGACAUAAUCGUAGUGGAAGUAGCAGUGGACGUGCACAAAAGAGCGUCGUACGUGCGCAUGCCGUCCAAAGUCUGGGAUCUAGCGGAGAUGGAGAAAAUUCUGUCAUGACAGGACUAAGUAGGGAGCAAUGGCAGACUUUGAUGGAUAUGCUCAACACUUCCAAGGUCACUCCAAAUGAAAGCAUGACUGGUAAGACUAAACUCAAUUUAUGGAUUUUGGACAGUGGGGCUUCCAAUCAUAUGACAGGAACCUUACAACACUUGUGUGACGUACGAGAAGUAUUGGGGUGUCCUGUUGGACUUCCUAACGGAGACACUACCACUUCAACUAAGGAAGGGACAGUAAAGCUUGCUGAUGGCUUGAAACUAAAAAACGUGCUUUAUGUUCCUCAGCUGAAAUGCAAUUUAAUCUCUAUAUCACAACUGUCAGAUGAAUCUCAAUGCAAUGUCCAGUUCACUGCUAAUUUAUGUGUUAUACAGGACUUCACUUUGAAGAUGCUGAUUGGUCUGGGUGAACGAAGGGACAGAUUCUACUUUUUCCAAGAAAUUCCAAAAUUGAAGGCUUGCAGAGUUGAAGGGAUGAAUCAACUAGAAGUAUGACACAAGCGUUUGGGACAUCCAUCUUGGAAAACUACUCAUUUAAUUUCUAAUGGCAGUGGUAGUGGUAAGAAUGUUAGUGAGUUAUCAAAUAAAUUUUGUGAUACAUGCCAAAGAGCUAAGCAAACUAGAGAAACAUUUCCAUUGAGCAAUAAUAAAGCUUCUAAUAUAUUUGAUUUGAUACAUUGUGAUUUAUGGGGAGCAUAUAGAACUCCUUCUUCUUGCGGUGCUUCAUAUUUUCUUACUAUUGUCGAUGAUUGCUCGCGUGCAGUAUGGAUUUUUUUACUAGUUGACAAGGAAGAAGUGGCACGAACACUAAUAAAUUUUUUUGCUAUGAUAGAGAGGCAGUAUAACAAAAAGGUUAAAAGUGUUAUAAGCGAUAAUGGAACAGAAUUUAUUUGCAUGAAGAAUUAUUUUGCUGAACAUGGGAUGAUAUUUCAAACCUCUUGUGUGGGAACUCCUUAACAAAAUGGUAGGGUUGAAAGAAAGCAUCUUCAUAUUCUCAAUGUGGCACGAGCUUUGAGGUUCCAAGGAAGUUUGCCCAUUGAUUUUUGGGGUGAGUGUAUCUUGACAGCAGGGUACUUGAUUAAUCGUACUCCAAGCUCAAUAUUGAAUGGGAAAACUCCGUACGAAGUAUUGCACGGAAAACCACCCUCUUACACUCACCUACGCAUAUUUGGUUCAUUAUGUUAUGCGUGCAACCAAGGUACGAAAGGAGACAAAUUUUCAAGUCGCAGUCGUAAGUGUGUCUUCGUAGGAUAUCCUUAUGGCCAAAAAGGAUGUCGAGUCUAUGAUCUCGAGACUUGUGAGUUCUUUGUAUCAAGAGAUGUUGCUUUCUUUGAAACUCAGUUUCCUUUUCAAAAACAAAAAUCUGAACCAACCCCUCCACUCAUCAUUAGUGAAGACAUUGAUGCAGAAAGUUCCAGUGAUCAUCCAAAUAACGAGCAAGGGUCUCUUGAAGAUACAUUUGAACCAAUAACAGAUGCGUUACUUAACGAUAGGGAGGGAACUAAUCGUAUUGAAGUUGUUGUUGAAGAUGAUACUAUUGUUGUUCCUCCAGAAACGCAGGAUGAGAUUGAAUCUUUGGGAAGAGGUUGUCGUGUCAAAUACACAUCUACUCGGCUGAAAGACCAUGUCACGAAUACAGUUCUUAAGUUGAGUCCUCCCUCUCAUUCACCAGCUGAAUGUCAUCCUUCAGGUGCACCCUAUCCUAUUGAACAUUAUGUAAAUUGCGAAAAGUUUUCUUUUCCACAUAAACAAUUCCUUGCUGCCAUUAUUGUGGACAAAGAACCAUUGUAUUUUCAUGAAGCAGUAAAGGAUGUUCGUUGGAGAGAAGCAAUGCAAAUUGAGAUUCAAGCCCUUGAACGCAACAAUACUUGGACUAUGCAACCCCUACCACCCGGAAAGAAAGCUCUCGGGUGCAAAUGGGUUUACCGCAUAAAAUAUCACUCGGAUGGGACAGUUGAACGCUUUAAAGCACGAUUAGUUAUACUUGGAAACCAUCAAGUGGAAGGAAUCAACUACACUGAGACAUUUGCACCAGUCGCAAAAAUGGUCACGGUACACACUGUCUUAGCUGUGGCAUCAGCAAAAGCUUGGGAACUUCAUCAAAUGGAUGUGCACAACGCCUUUCUACAUGGAGAUUUGCACGAGGAAGUCUUUAUGAAAAUGCCUCCUGGUUUUUCAAUAUCACAACCAAACACAGUCUGCAAGCUUCGCAAAUCACUCUAUGGGUUAAAACAAGCUCCAGUUGCUAGUUCGCUAAGCUCUCUGCUGCCCUCAAAUCAUAUGGUUUCCAGCAGUCAUACCUCGACUACUCUUUGUUCACUUUGCAGCAAGAAGGAACUCAACUUGUGGUCCUAGUAUAUGUUGAUGACUUGAUUAUUGCAGGAAAUACUCCUUCUGCUAUCAAGCGAUUUAAGCUCUAUCUUAGCACCUGCUUUCAUAUGAAAGACCUUGGUGUCUUGAAGUAUUUUCUAGGUAUUGAAGUUGCCCGAAAUUCUACAGGGAUCUCUCUUUGUCAACGCAAAUAUGCUCUUGACAUUAUAUCUGAAGCUGGACAUCUAGGUGCUAAACCCGCUGCAACUCCGUUGGAGCAAAACCAUCACUUGUCACUUGCUACGGGGCAAUUUCUCUCCAAUCCUGAGCAAUAUCGACGUUUGGUUGGGCGUUUGAUUUAUUUAUGUUUCACGCGGCCUAAGUUGUCAUAUAGUGUCCACAUUUUAUCUCAAUACAUGCAACAACCUAGAACAGAACAUUGGGAAGCUGCACUUCGAGUAGUUCGCUUCUUAAAAGGUAAUCCGGGACAAGGAAUAUUUUUGGGUAGUGCAUGUGACUUACAGCUCCACGGUUGGUGUGACUCAGACUGGGCCAGUUGUCCCUUGACGCGACGCUCUGUCACUGGUUGGCUAGUGUUGCUUGGUAAAUCUCCUAUUUCUUGGAAAACAAAGAAACAACAUACUGUCUCUCGGUCCUCUGCUGAGGCGGAAUAUAGGUCCAUGGCAACUACUACAUGCGAGUUAAAAUGGUUAAAGGGGAUCCUCUCCAACCUAGGAGUUGCUCAUGAUAAACCCAUGAUUAUUCACUGUGAUAGUCAAGCAACCUUACACAUUGCGAAAAAUCCUGUGUUCCAUGAACGUACCAAGCACAUUGAAGUGGAUUGUCAUUUUGUUCGGAACGAAGUUCUCAAAAACAAUAUAUGUCCGACUUAUGUCUCUACCAUUAUUUUACACCCUUAUUUAUAUUUAGGAUUGAAUUAAAUUAGUAGUAGGUGUAAAAAAAUUUACAUUGUCACUUAAUAGUAAUAGUUAGAUCAUUAUAAAUUGUUGUGAAUUCCGGACAUAAAAUCAUACCAAUACAAACUAUGAUGUGUGGAGCAAAGGAAAAUAGUAACCAAUUUCAAAGUAAAUACAAGCAACAACAAUAUUAACAACACCUAGAUCUAAUCUAGUAAUCAAAGUGAAAAGCACAAAACCACAAACAAAAGAUAAAAAGGAGAGAAGAGAGAAACAAACACACCAAAGAUUGUUCACCCAGUUUGGUCCAAACUUGAAAUACUCUGGAGGAGAGAUUGAUCUCUCCAAUCCACCAUCAAUGAGUUCUUACAAAGAGAUACAAAAGAGUUACAAGAAAUUAGCUUUGACAAGUUCACAAAGAACAACUCUAAUUUCUACCUUUUUUUCCCAAUCUCACCAAUGAAUAAGACACUCAAUGAUUUUUCACUCACCAAGGUGUUUACAAUGUUUCCCAACCCAAGAGAACUCUAAUCAAAGACUCUCAACCCUAAAGUUACCUCCUUUGAUUCCCCAAGUUUUCUCUCUCUUCCAGCUCUCCAUCAAAAUCUGCAAAGAACACUUAUAUAGCAGUCUUCAGCGUCAAAAUUGUGUCACGUUUUCCAUCAAUCGUGUCACGAUUGAUGCGUACGACCCAAUGUACGACCAACCUUAUCCUGAAAAUCUUGCCCAGCAAGCCAAAAAUCGUGUCACGAUUGGACACCCUGAAAACAGCUCUUGACAUUACCAAAAUCGUGACACGCUUGCCAAAUCGUGUCACGAUUUCUCUGCUUCCCAACUUUGCAAUUUGAAGACAUACACAACAAAAAUGUUUGACAUUAAUCAUAUCUAAUAAAAUUGUAUUCAAAAUCGUGGAAAAUAAAAACUUCAUUUUUUGAAAAAGAAAGUAAACAACUAAUGGAAAAUAAAAACUUCAUUUUACACCAGUCCAUAUUUUCUCCUAAUUAUUUUAGACAACACUUUAUAAUCUUGAAGUUGUUCUUCUAUCAUGCUCGAUGUAUCUUUGAAGAGGUACCGGAGCUCGACAUCUCUCUCCUUCAUCUUUGUGUGCAUUUCCUUCAUUUGCAACUCUUUUUCCUUCAACUUGUUACUUUCUUGCACUCUACAUCCCAAUUUUUCUAAAGCCGAAGCUUUUAACUUUGCCGCAUCUUCCAUCAUAGUUAGAUCAACAAUAGCCGAAUGUGUUUCGUUUACUUUUGAUUUUCCCUUUCUUUUUUGUUGCUUUUGUCCCAAUUGGACGAACCACAUUAUUUUCAGUUGGGUUGUAAUCGUAACUUUCUGGCAUGCACGAAUUAGAAGAGGAUGGGUAUGCUCCAGAAGCCGAAGUCUUUGUUCUUUUACUAGCUCCUUCAAGUGAUUGGUUUGACUAUUUAGGUUCAUCUUUUAACAAUCUCCACACAAACUCUUGAUAGAAUAUUAUAUUUAAUAAAAUUAAUAGAAUAUAAUAUUCGGUCAUUAUUGGCUAUUAUUAGUUCCCUGUAAAUAGGCUGUAUCAUAAUUAGUAAGUUGACCAGACGUUACACAAUAGUUGUAUAUAUUCUAUUCAGAUCAAUGAGAAAGGCAAGCAUUUUGUUAUCUUACAUGGUAUCACUCCUAACCGAUCCCUCUCUCUAAUAAAAUAAAAAAAAAAGAAAGAAAGAAAAACACAAAAACAGAGUCGCAGAACUCUGUUCUCCUUCUUCUCACUCACGCACGCACAGUGCCGCCGCGCCCCUCCCUCUUCCUUUGCGCCGCCGCCGCCUCUGUUGCCAUGUAAUCCGAUCGAUCUUCGAUCCUUGACCAGCAGUGCUCGUGCGUCCCUUCCUCCACUUCGACCGUGCCCACUGCGCCGUCAUCGCCCCCUUUCUCAAUCUGGUUGUGUUUCACCUCCGAUCACCUCCGUUUCUCAUUUUUCUAUGCUGUUCUACCUUAACCAUCACUCAUCAUGUUCGAUUCCGACCUCAACGAUGAUCAGAGCAGCGCCGCCGCCUCUGCCUUCGCCGCUGCCGCCGCCGCUGCUGUCAAUUCGAUCAUUUUCAAAAAUGGCUUUCAUCCCGCUCUUGUUGUCUCUAAUAUUAGGAACCACAUUCCUAUUAGUCUUGAGUUGGAAAAGGACCAAUAUGGAACCUGGGCGGAACUCUUCUGCAUUCAUGCUCGUUCUCAUCGAGUAUUGCAUCACAUUGUUCCCUCUACAGACAAAGCACCGCCACUACCUGCAGACGCCGAAUAUGAGCAAUGAACCACUCUAGAUGCCACCGUGCUUUAGUGGAUUUAUUCCACAAUUUCCACUGACUUACUGAUGACUAUUUUGGAACCAAACUCCACUGCGGUAGCCGCAUGGAAUUGUUUGGUAGACAUCUUUCAAGACAAUCAAAACGCCCGUGCUGUCACUCUCGAGCAAGAGUUCUCUAACACCCGCAUGGAAGACUUUCCCAACGUCUCUGCAUACUGCCAGCGUCUCAAGAUGCUCUCUGACCAAUUGAGGAAUGUCGGCUCUCUCGUCAACAAUCACCGUCUGGUACUCCAACUGAUAUCUGGACUCCCUGAAGCUUAUCGUAGUGUGGCCACCCUGAUUCGCCAGAGUAAUCCUCUUCCUGCAUUUUAUCAGGCUCGCUCCAUGCUCACCUUGGAAGAAGCUGGCAUGGCUAAAAUGGCUAACACCGGCUCUCCUGCUGCCUUACACACCACUCAGCAGUGACCUCCUGAGGAUACCUCUCAACGUGGCAACCGUCGUCCCAACAACCCCAACAAUCGGUCUCGCUCUCGUGGCAAUCAGGGUCGCGGAGGGGGGUGUGGUAACCGUAGCGGACCUCAGUCUGGAGCUCCCAACACCUCCCCACCCUGGUCUUCUCCUCCUUGGCCGCAGCAAUAACAAUACCCUGCCUGGCAAUCAUGGGGUUGGACCCCACCACCAUGGGCCAUACCUCCGUGUCCGUAUCCCACAUCUUAGUGGACACGCCCUACUGGCCGUACCGCUCCUCCGAGACAGUCGGCCAUCCUAGGACAGCGUCCUCAGGCGUAUGCAGCUUCUACUUCAUCUCUUACACCAACUGACAUUGAGGCAGCUAUGCACACCAUGUCUCUACAUCCUCCUGAUACUCAGUGGUACAUGGAUACCGGCGCAACAUCUCACACGACAGCAUCACGAGGUAAUCUCUCAUCUUAUUCUCCUAUAAGUCAUUUAAAUCAGAAAAUUAUUGUUGGCAGUGGCCAUGGAAUUCCAAUUCACGGCACCGAACACACACAACUCACAACCUCUAACCAACCCAUUCACUUAAAACAUGCCCUUCAUGCCCCAAAAAUUAUUAAAAAUUUAAUCUCUGUAAGACAACUCACCACUGACAACAAUGUAUCUGUUUCUUUUGACCCUUUUGGUUUUACUGUCUCUGAUUUUCAGACGGGGAUUCCUCUUCUCAGAUGUAAUAGUCGUGGCGACCUAUAUCCAGUCACCCCUCCCAACAAUUUUGUCGAUCUUACGUCCAGUCUAUGGCACGAUCGUCUUGGUCAUCCUGGCGUGUCUGUUUUAAAUUCCCUACGCAAGAAUAAAUUCAUAUGUUGUGAAACUUCUCAUAAUUCUGUCAUCUAUGACUCGUGUGUUUUAGGCAAACAAGUUAAAUUGCCAUUUUUUAAUUCUCAAACUGCUACUCUCAUGCCUUUUGAUAUUUUACAUAGUGACUUGUGGACUUCUCCUGUUUUAAGUUCUGCUGGCCAUAAAUAUUAUGUUUUAUUUUUAGACGACUUCACAAAUUUCUUGUGGACCUUUCCUAUUAGUAGAAAAUCUCAGGUUUUUGAAAUGUUCAAGUCACUUACUUCUCUUAUUCACACUCAAUUUUUGCAAAAUGUAAAAUCCUUCCAGUGUGACAAUGGCGGUGAAUAUAAUAAUGAGCUAUUUCAACAAUAUUGUACUACUAAUGGCCUUAUUUUUCGCUUCUCUUGCCCUCACACAUCCUCCCAAAAUGGGAAAGCGGAACGAAAAAUAAGAACCAUUAAUAAUAUGAUUCGCACUAUGCUAGCUCACUCUUCUGUUCCCCCACAAUUUUGGCAUCAUGCACUUCACAUGGCAACUUAUUUGCUAAAUAUUCUUCCCUGUAAAACACUUCAAAAUCAAUCACCAACACAGCUCCUUUACCACCGUGAUCCCAGCUACACACAUUUACGAGUCUUUGGUUGUCUGUGUUAUCCAUUACUCCCAUCACCUACCAUUCAUAAAUUACAACCCCGUUCUACUCCGCGUGUCUUCUUAGGUUAUCCCCUGAAUCAUAGAGGUUACAAGUGUUUUGAUUUGUCUAACAGAAAGUUAAUAAUUUCGAGGCAUGUUAUCUUUGGUGAAACUCAAUUUCCCUUCACCAAAAUACACUACCCUUCCCCUCACUCAUAUGACUUUCUAGACAACGACUUACACCCCUACCUCAUACAACAGUGGCAAACUCAACAUCCACCACCGGAUACUCCUAACGAACCACCAGCAACAACCACAAUGGCCCAACCAAUCGACCCAACUCCACUAAAUUCACAUACUACAAUCUCCCCUACCUUAAUCUCACCAAUUCAACCACAUCUUCCACCACCUACUCGCACCAUCAUCACCCGUAGCAUGAAGGGUAUUACUAAACCCCGCACAAUGUUUAACUUAUCCCUUUCACACUCAAACCACACCAUCUCUCCCAUACCUAAAAAUCACAAACUAGCCUUAUCGGACCCGAAUUGGAAAUCUGCAAUGCAAUCUGAGUUUGAUGCACUUAUUAGAAAUAAGAUGUGGGAUUUAGUUCCUCGCCCUAGAGAUGCUAAUCUUAUUCGAUGUAUGUGGAUUUUUAAACAUAAGAAAAAUUUUGAUGGGUCUUUUGAGCGCUAUAAGGCUCGCCUUGUUUGUGAUGGCAGGUCACAGGUUGCAGGUGUGGAUUGUGAUGAGACUUUCAGCCCGGUGGUAAAACCCGCUACCAUUCUAACAUUACUCACCAUUGCUCUCUCUCACUCAUGGCCCAUUCAUCAGCUGGAUGUUCAGAAUGCUUUUUUGCAUGGUGAUCUUCACGAAACUGUCCACAUGCAUCAACCAUUGGGUUUUCACGACUCUCGUCAUCCGGACUACGUUUGUCGUUUGAAGAAGUCGCUUUAUGGUCUCAAGCAAGCGCCUCGAGCAUGGUACCAACGCUUUGCUGACUAUGUAAUUACCAUUGUUUUUCGACAUAGCACAUCAGAUCAUUCUCUCUUCAUAUACCGACAGCAAUCCGACAUGGCCUACAUUCUGCUCUAUGUGGACGACAUUAUCCUUAUUACUUCCACUCAUGCCCUUCGCCAAUCCAUUAUGUCCCUCUUGGCAUCCGAGUUUGCAAUGAAGGAUUUGGGUCCCCUGAGCUAUUUUUUGGGUAUUGCCGUCUCUCGUCAUCCUGGUGGUCUCUUUCUCAGUCAAAGCACCUAUGCCUCUGAAAUCAUUGAUCGUGCUGGGAUGCAAUCUUGCAAAUCAUCUGCCACCCCUGUUGAUACUAAACAAAAACUCAGCAUUUCAUCAGGCACACCUUAUGAAGAUCCAUCUCUCUAUCGUAGUCUUGCAGGAGCUUUACAAUACCUCACAUUCACUAGACCCGACAUCUCUUACGCUGUUUAGCAAGUUUGUCUUCACAUGCAUGCACCUAGUACAGAACACAUGCUUGCUCUAAAACUCAUUCUUCGUUAUGUUCAGGGUACCGUACAUUUUGGACUACAUUUAUCACCAUCUCCCAUCACCAAACUCCUUUCCUACACUGACGCCGAUUGGGGUGGAUGUCCUGACACCUGACGUUCCACUUCUGGAUACUGUGUCUUUCUCGGUGACAACCUCAUCGCUUGGUCCUCCAAGAGACAACCCACUCUCUCUCGGUCUAGUGCUGAAGCGGAAUAUAGAGGUGUUGCUAAUGUUGUGUCUGAGUCAUGUUGGCUUCGUAAUCUCUUACAGGAGCUCCACUUUCCUAUUCCUCAGGCUACUUUGGUGUAUUGUGACAAUGUUAGUGCCAUCUACCUAUCUGGCAACCCUGUGCAGCAUAUCAACGUACCAAACACAUUGAAAUGGACAUACACUUUGUACGGGAAAAAGUAGCUCGUGGUCAGGCACGUGUCCUCCAUGUUCCAUCUCGACAUCAGAUUGCAGAUAUCUUCACCAAAGGGCUUCCCCGCAUUCUCUUUGAUGAUUUUCGGACCAGUCUCAGCGUCCGUGAACCUCCCGCUUCGACUGCGGGGGUCUGAUAGAAUAUUAUAUUUACUAAAAUUAAUAGAAUAGAAUAUUCGGUCAUUAUUGGCUAUUAUUAGUUCCCUGUAAAUAGGUUGUAUCAUAAUUAGUAAGUUGACUAGACGUUACACAAUAGUUGUAUAUAUUCUAUUCAGAUCAAUGAGAAAGGCAAGCAUUUUGUUAUCUUACAACUCUAACAUGAAACAUUCAUGUGUAUAUUGAGUAUAGAUUAAUAUGCAUCUCCCAUGACAUCACUCUAAGCUACCACUUUUUUUCUUCUUGGAUAGGCUUGCUUGUAGCACCCUCCAAAUUUUUUAAUUAUGGAAUUCACCUUCGACCAUCGAGAUUUUAGUUGUACUGGUCCCUUUGCAAGGAAAUAACCACAAUGUUCAUUAUAACCAUCUGCAAUUCUUUUGCCAAAAAACAUUUGCUCUUUGAUUUACCCCUGUACAACUGCAUCCUUAGAAAUAUUUAGCCAUGAUUGGAUGAGGAGUUUAUCUUCCUCUGGGGUGAACCUUACUCUUUGCUGUUUUUGAGUUGCAUGGUCUUCCUCAUUGAGCACAAUACUGUCUGGCCCAACUUGAGCAGAAGAUGGUGGAGUAUGAACUUUUUGUGCAAAGUUUGACAUUGUUUCAUGCUUUUUUCAUAAUCAGCGACGGUGUUAGUUGGUGGUGAUUGAAACAUGGGAAAUUGUUAUGGAAAUGGGGGUCUAGAAAAUGAAAAAAAUAUUAGUAUUUUGAGUUUGAAAAGGACGAGUUUGAAGAUUGAGAGGAUUUUGAAAAUUUGAAGAAGAGGGAGAUUGAUGAUUUUGCAUUAUAUUGAAAAAAGGGUUAUUUUGAAGGAGUAAUUAAAUACAAGAAUUAUCAACCGCUAAUUGUGUAAAAUUUCCAACGACUAUUGAUGCUACAUGCAAAUUCAAAUUCAACUAUUAUCUGCAACUAUUAUAUAAUUUAUUUUUUAAUAUUAAAAUAAUACAAUAAUUCAAUAUAGAGAAAAAAUAAAAUUAAUUGUAUAUGUGUGACCCAACAAUAGGAGAGAGAUAGUGCAUAUAAAAACACCAAUCUUUAUGAGUAUCAUAUUCAUUGAUAUCACAAUAGGGUGUUUGUUUAACAUGAUGCUAAAUAAGGGAACAAGAAGGUAUCAAAAUAAAAUUCUUAUAUUUAAUGGUUGUUUAGUUUAACAUGCUUUUCAAUCUAUCUUUCUAAAAUUUCCUAAUGAAAAAAAAUAAAAUUGGCAGCACUUUGACCAUAGAGUGCUGACUGUGGCUUAACACACAACUUGGACCAAUUUGGUUGGACAGUGUAUUUUAAUACAUUAUCCAAAAGCAUCAAAUCUAGGCUUGUGGAGAAUAUGCUUCUUUGUUACCAAGUUUUUUUUUUUUUUUUUUUGUUACAUGUUACCAAGUUUUCUGGAAGGCAGCUUUAUGGAUGAUUUUUAAAAUUUAAUUACUAUGAAAAUAUCGAAAUUAUUGGAUGAUAUUUAAGUAGAUUUCUAAACAAGAAAAAAUAUAUUCCUAAAAUAAAAAAUUAUUGAAAAAUUAGUGGAAUAUGCUUCUUUAAGUUUGUUAAUACUCUAUUUAUAAUUAGAUCGUUGAACUUUUAAACAAUGGAAAAUGUUAACAAAUAUCCUUAGAAUAUUGUUUAAGAAAAUAAAAAGAAUAAUUUUUGCAUAGAAAAUAAUGUAAUUAUUACUUUGAGACUACUUUGCUCUUAUGACACCUGUUAACACGACAUUUAAACAACUAUUGAAAAAUUAUGAUUCCAUUUACAAAUUUUUGUAACUUCGAAAACUAUAUGAAAGUAUCUAAAUAAUUGAAGCAACUUGUAUGUACCUGCCAAUGCCAAAGUCCUGUGUGUGCCCAAUACUUUGGAAUAGUCACAUCUCCAAUUUGGAAUCUAGAAUUUAAAUUACCUGCAAUUCCAUAAUGUAGAACUCCUUCUAUAUUAAAUAAAGUAAGCAACAAUUGAGUUGCAAGACCUGCAUUUAGCUACACAAAAAGAAAGCAAAAGACUAAGAAAAAAGAAAGAAAUAUAACCAGAAGUUUAAGUAAAUGCAUAAGCAAGAAGAAAUUUAGCUUACCAUACCCUCUCCACUCAUAACAACAAUAACCUUCUUCUUUUCCAAUUCACCAAUCCGAAAAUGUCUUCCUACAUCAUCAAAUUUACCAAAAAUCAAUUGACGUCGUAAUGUUCUAUCAUAAAUUUAAAAUUUUAUUGCUAUUGGUGUUAAUGAGCAUCUCAAACUUAAGAACAACUAGUACUCAUCACAAAAAUCUAAUGAACUAGUUUGGAUAUAAAUGGAUGCAGAAAGAGAAAGAAUGCAUCAUAUGCAUAAGUAAUUAUGUAUACAAAUAUAAUCAAAUGUUGUAAAAAUUACCAGCAAAGUCAAAGUAUGGAAACUUGUUAUGUGGCACAAAGCUUGAUGAAUGAAGAAGAGGGUUCAACUCAUAGGCAUUUGGCACAACUAUACCAAUAGAUGGUCCUUCGUUAUUAAUAUUGCUGAUUUCUCUCCAAGAAAGUUGAUUAAUGGCACCAUAGGCAUAAAUGCUAUUUCCCAAUAAUACAAUCAUCACAAGGACACCUAGAAGAAACUCCAUUCUCCUCCAAUGGUUAUCUUUCAAGUGGUUCAAAAAUUAAAAUAUACAAUUGCCCACAUGGUUGUGAAAGUAUUAAAUAAUGUCACACAAGAAAUGAACAAAAUAAAGAUAGAAUAAAUUUGGAUAUGAUUUCAUGCAUGGAGUCAAUCAAUCAUUUUUUUAUAUCAACAUCAUAAAAUAAAUGUGACAUUAAUUUAUUUGUGAAGUCCAGACAAUAUGCCCCCACCCCACAUAGACUAGGCUAUGCUUUUUGAAUAGAUGUCAACCUCUUAAAUAAAUAUCAAUUACUCCAUCCGUUUUUAAGUAUAAGCAAAUUUUAUUUCUUAAGUUCAUUCAAUUAAUAAUGUAUGUGGUUUAUAAUAUGGACCACAUACAUCAUUAAUUGAAUAAACUUAAAAAGUAAAAUUUGCUUAUAUUUAGAAACGGAGGGAGUAUCUUGUUAGUGUUUACGGUUGUGCAUGUGACCCUUUGUUCACUAAAAAGACAACAAAUAGUUAAGAAUGCCACAGUUAUUUCAACUUGAGCUUCAACUUGCUAACGUUGAUUUCGAGGUUGCUUUGGAAAGAGUAGCUGAUUAUUUCAACAAAGGUUGAGGAGAUGUCACUAAAUUUGUUUCCAUCAUGGAUAGUUGUAUCCAAUUCUGUAGGAGGCAAGCAAAUGAGGUUGCACAAGAAUUAACUAAGGCAGCCACAUCUAAUACUAGUUUACGUAUCUUUGAUAAAAUUUCAACAUGUAUUACUGAUUUAAUUUUUAAUGAAAUGAUAUAAGUUACUUUCCCUAAAAUAAGUGCCGCAUUUAAUAAAACAUUCAAUUGAGGAGAUGACAAUACUAUUGCAUUUCAAAUUCAAAAAAUAAGUAGAUUUCAUUAUGCUUUUAUUUUGAGUACAUAAUACAAGAGAAAAAUUGAAACACAUCAUUUCUUUCUCCCUCUUAUAAUAACCCUUGCUUAUACAUUAAGAAAGGGAUUAAAGCUACUAAAUUAUAAUAAAGAUAUGAAUUUGACAAGAACAUCAAAUGCAUUUUGAGAGGCUAAUGAUAUGAAAAUAGAUACUUCAUUGCUCAAUGCAGAACCUCCUCCAGCUAAAUCAGACAAUGCUCUAAUGGCAAUGAAAGGUAUUUUGUGUUGGAAACAAACUAAAGCAACUGCAGCACUUUCCAUGUCUGUUGGAGUAGCAUCAAAUUUGCUGUUCAAAUGAUCUCUAUAAGCUUUAUUGUCAACAAACAUAUUGGCACUUACUCCUUUCUUUACUCUUACAACCAUAGGCUUUCUUGGCAAGCAUGUUGUGUUAACACAUAUACUCAAUUCAAC
RNAcentral lists this long non-coding RNA (16067 nucleotides) under Medicago truncatula (barrel medic). RNAcentral describes it as "long non-coding RNA (MTRU_LNC004545)". The record is from RNAcentral. Lineage: Eukaryota; Viridiplantae; Streptophyta; Magnoliopsida; Fabales; Fabaceae.